ACUUCAGUGUACUGCGCCACAAGGCUCAAAAGCUACAAAGAGAGGUCAGUGACUAACAGUGUAGUAAAGCGAAAGGUAAGUAAAUUGUAACUUACUAUAACAUAAAGUCUCUACUUAGCAUGAUUUGCACAAGUAAUAAAGCAACUACAUCAUGAAUGUACAUGGGUGUGUAUGACAUACAUAAGCAUAGAAAUGCAACCACUCCGAUGUCCUCAAUGCAAAAUUAGUAAAGAUGUCAUUGUUUACUAUUCUAGUCCAAGUCCACUUUAAUUGUUUUAAAGUUCACAUAGCAUGUUCUGUCACUAAGUCCCAAUCAUGUAAGACCCACCCGAAGGCUGUCUGGCCUGCGCCGUGCCUAGUGGCCCCGUGGUAGUCAACAUCCCCACUCUAGGAAUGAGCCUCCCCCACGGCAAUCCAUUUCGGCGCCCAAUCCCGCACGGGUGAGCAUAUGUUGCGAUGGCUAUCUCCGGAGUGCCGGCUUGUAGGGAGCGACCCUCACAAGCAUGUGCGAAUGAGCACAAGUGGCAAGCAAGCAAUGAUCCGUCUCUCUCAAGUCAUCAUGUCUAAAAUAUGGAAUACAUCGAAUGUCCCCAUGGCCUAUCUCUAUGUCGUCAUGUCUCUAACAUGGAAUAUAGCAGAUAUGUAUUGGCCUAUCAAUAUGUCUCUAUGUUGCAAUUUCUUAGUUUACUAAUUCU
RNAcentral lists this long non-coding RNA (695 nucleotides) under Ananas comosus (pineapple). Its description in RNAcentral is "long non-coding RNA (ACOM_LNC000698)". Lineage: Eukaryota; Viridiplantae; Streptophyta; Magnoliopsida; Poales; Bromeliaceae. The record is from RNAcentral.